CUGUGGACAGACUCUUCUUGGGUGUCGUUCGAUGAAACGAAGACUUCUUCAGAAACAUGGCAUCUUUAUAGGAAGGGAUAACAUGUUGUGUUUAUUGAGAAUAAUCGAUCCUGACGGAGUUGAUCUAAGAGCAAGUCACUGCUUGACAAGAAGAAUGUAUCUAAACAAUGGACCAAAUUAUCUUGCACAUGUUGAUGGGUACGACAAGUUGAAGCCAUUUGGCUUCGCUAUACAUGGUGCAAUGUGUGGAUUUUCAAGACGAAUACUAUGGCUUAAAGUUGCAAGAACAAACAAUGACCCUUUUGUUGUAGCAUCAUAUUUCUUGAAAUACC
Saccostrea echinata is the source of this 332-nucleotide long non-coding RNA. RefSeq lists it as uncharacterized. NCBI's taxonomy places the organism in Eukaryota, Metazoa, Mollusca, Bivalvia, Ostreida, Ostreidae. The transcript is spliced from 3 exons. The record is from RefSeq and is a predicted model, not a curated record.